UACGUAGGGGGCAAGCGUUGUCCGGAUUUAUUGGGCGUAAAGCGCUCGCAGGUGGUUCGUUGCGUCGUGCGUGAAAGACCCCGGCUCAACUGGGGAGGGUCGUGCGAUACGGGCGAACUGGAGGCCAGUAGGGGGAUGCGGAAUUCCGGGUGUAGUGGUGGAAUGCGUAGAGAUCCGGAGGAACACCAGCGGCGAAGGCGGCAUCCUGGACCAAUUCUGACGCUGAGGAGCGAAAGCCAGGGGAGCAAACGGG
Molecule: ribosomal RNA, 253 nt
Filed under: uncultured bacterium
Lineage: Bacteria
Description: partial 16S ribosomal RNA
Rfam family: Bacterial small subunit ribosomal RNA
Source: RNAcentral